This is a non-coding RNA of Paramuricea clavata, 3888 nucleotides long. NCBI's taxonomy places the organism in Eukaryota, Metazoa, Cnidaria, Anthozoa, Malacalcyonacea, Plexauridae. The record is from the annotation of a GenBank genome assembly.
UUAUUGCUUCGUGAUUACUUUGAAGUUACUCAGUGACAGUGUCAUCGGCGCGCACAAGAAUUCACAAACCUUAAAAAAGAAGAAUUUUAACCAGAAGCCAUCUCACAGAAGAGUAGUUAAGUCUUGAUACGAUUCCAGAAGAAUUUAACUUCAGAAAUUGUUGAAAUACGAUUGAGGUAAGUUUUACUUUCAAUACAAAUGCAUUAACAUUUUGUGCGAAAAUGAGAACUUGGUUUCAGGUCAGACUUGGAAAUGAAAACGCAAACAUGCGCGCACUUUAUGGCAAAGUUCAAGCCUUCUUUUAAAUGCGCACACAGUGCGCAAAUUUGGCAUUUUGCGCAAAAGAGUGCGACGAUUUAUUCUACUUACGGAUUAUUCGUCAAUAGUUUAGACGCGUCAUCCAGACAGCCCAGCCAUAGUGGCGAGAUUGACAUAGUUUUGAGGAAAAAAAUCAUGCUUGAUUUUGAUCUUUUUUUUGCUAGUGCCUGGUAGAUCUCAUCUAGUUGCGUAUUGAUUCACAUGAACAAAGUACGCAUGCAACUUCGUUUCAGUUGAAAGCUGCGCUACGCAGAAAGUUUGUGACUUUGUGGUGUUUAUACAAUAUAUACACGAUCAAGUACAGUCUCAGUUACGGAAGCUGCCUCUAAACGACUAGUCUAGUAUAUUAAUUCGGGCCUGAAAUGCAAAACGCAAGAACGUUUCGCUCCUCAGAAGGGAUCGGAUCACACAAUGCGGUGUACUAAAGCUACAAGCUUAGUAAAAAACCCCAAACUUUAUUCAAACAGAGCUACUGCCAAUACUGCUACCAUAGUAUGCAAAAUUAAAUUUACAGAGAAACUAUAGAUUGAAAAUUAGAAUUAUACUGUAUGUAUAUAAAGCAAUAGGAAGCUACCUACCAAUGUUCACACGGUUUGUCUUUCAUUGCAAUAACAUACAUAAACAAGUCAUAUUGUUAAAAGAACGACACGAGUGAUUUAUUUGGUUAAGCGUACAGAUAAAAUCCGCACUGAUAUCAUUAACCUUUGUAUUAUUGCAGCGCAUUUAAUAAAUAGUGCUUUUCGCUUCCGACCUCAUUAAAAUAUAUAUGGAAAUGUUGACAAAUUGGUUUAUUGUAUGGAAAAUUGCUAUCUAAUAUCGACCAGUUUCAACAGGUAAUCUGUGAGCUGAUAAGAUAACUUGGUUUUAGUUUAUCCAAAGCUUUCCGGCUGAUGACUUGAUUACAAGUUAUUAAUAAAGUAUUAGGGAGUUUAAGCUUCACGGCCGGCAACGGCAAACGGCAGGUUCGAACUUUCUUGGCAAAAUUUUCGGCAAACGUUUUCGUUUCAUCUUUUCUUUCUUGCGUCAAAAGAAUAAUCAUGCAUUGCAUUUUUAAAACAGCAAGUUUACUUACUCUUUUUUGCCUGAAACCGUAACUGAAUUUUUCUUUGCCUGGCGUUUGCCGUUUGACGUAUAACGCAAAGUUUAAACUCUCUAAUAAUACAAAACAAACUUAAUAGAACAAUGUAAUAUACCGGGUGAUAAAGUAAAAAUCAAAUUCCGAAAAGACAAGACAUCUUCAGAAUACAAUAUAUAAUUCAAAACAAGAAGCAGGUUGAGUCCCUGAGUCUUGUUUUGAAUCAUAUAUUGUAUUCUCAAGAUGUGUUGUCUUUUCGGAAUUUGUUUUUUACUUUACUUUUUUAAAUUGUCGGCUGGUCAUGGUUUUUGGACUAAUACCGGACAGUGUCCCAGCAGAUUUGGACCCCCCCUCAAAAUGGACCCCCCCGGUCCAAAUCCGCUAGCGAAUAUGGAGCGGGGAGUCCAUAUCCGCUAGCGAAUAUGGACCUAUGGGGGUCUUUAUUCGCUAGCGGAUUUGGACUCCCCUUGCGAAUUUGGACCCCUCGCGUAUUUUAUCAUUGCAACGUAUUGUAUUUUGAAUAUUGUACUGAAAGCGUUUUAAAUCGUCACUGAACUCUAAUCUGAUUUAUUUCAAAAACCGUACGAAGAUUCUUAGAUUAAAAAAUUCCAUCAAAUCAUAGAUUUUUAGAUUAAAGAAUUCCUCAAAGUUGAUGAUUUAUAUAUAAUUUUUCUGCUACAUGGGUUUAUUUCUAUGAUCUUGGAAUGUGCGAGAAGCGCAUGAAGGCCUUCACAAGUAUUUUACUCCUUGGAAUUGCUAUCUACUCUGAUACUUUUUGUGAAUUUUAGGGGGUCCAAUUCCGCGGAAGGGGUACAUAUCAGCUAGCGGAUAUGUACUGUAGGGGUCCGAAUCCGCUAGCGGAUUUGGACCGGGGGGUCCAUAUCCGCGGGGAGUCCAAAUCCGCUGUGACACCGGGUGAUGGUUCAACUUUUUGAGCAAUAAAACUCAAGUGUCAAAAUCUCUAAUCCGUCUGAGGCGUGCGGUUACGAAAUGCGAUAUCUUAUGACGUCUGACAACCAAAGGCUUUUCUGGAAACCUUGAAUGCCCAAUGAAACAUGUUGGCACACAAACGCUCAGUUGUGUAAUCGCCGUAAAAGGUACCGGUAAUUAAAAAUUGAAAAACAAAUAAAGCUUGAAAUGUGAUGCGCAAUAGCAUAACCCGCUGGGACUAAUUGGCAUAAUGACCGUCAACAUUUACGGAGAAUAUUCAUGAAGCCUAUCCUAGUUCCUGAUUUGGAAUUUAUAAAUGACAUAGAAAGAACCAGAGAACACGAUUAAUAAUCAAAUAAAUAUGCUUGACUGUUAGCGAAUUAUGAUGAUAAUAAUAAUAAUGGUCUUCUCCAGACGUAAGAGUUUUAUGUAAAUUAAUAAAACUCAUUAAUAAUUCAUGAAGAAAAUUCAAAAGAAGUGAAUGUUUAAUCAAUGUUUGUAAAUCGCAUAAAGAUUUUUCUGAUAUACAUAAACUUCAGCUUUGAUUUUCUCGGCUUAGACAAUGUUUAUUUUUAAAAUUACUUCGCUAAUGAACUCAUAAGAUGGGUCGUUUUAUAAGCAUAUACAAACUCUCGCCUUCGGCUCGAGUUUUUAUAUCGGAUAAAGAUCGACUGCUCAUGUUUUAUCUAGUACAUAAACUCUACUACUAGCAAUGUUCUAGUCAGCACUUACAAAAGGUAACAUAAAUACAUAAUGACUUAUGUCUAAUAAGAUAUCCAAAGAUCUAGCGGUUGAAGAGACAUCUGUUAAUAAAUACUCUUUUAAGUCUCUGAGUUUUAACUUUGAGGAGCAUACAAUUAUUAGCCUCCGCAAUUCAAUUUGAGAAAUUAAUUUCUUAACACACAUUAGGCUGUGACUGCGGACUAAUUCAGGAUCUAUUUAUUGUCUUGUGACUUCUCGCGGGCUACGUUUUUAAACCGUUGUGUACCAUCAUAGCAUCACAGCCUCUGCCUGCCCUACUGCAAAACUAUGUAAAUGACGGCUGGAAAAAUCGUCUAGUGUUUAUAGAGACACUGAAAUGACAAAGUAAGGCGCAUUGCAUUUGGAGGCAACGGGGAUUAACCAAUGGGGGAUUAACAACAUGCAUGGGCAAAUAGACAGAUUAACGCGUUUUAAUAGUAUCAGCACUCUUUUUGGUGUUUGGUGAAAAAUGUGGAUUGCGGACUACGGAUUGCGGAUAGAGUGAAAAAUGCGGGCUGCGGAUAAAGGAUUGUGGGUAGAGUAGAAAAUGCGGAUUGCGGAACGAACUUGCAAAACUGUAAAGUGAUAAACGACUUUUGACUGUGGUGUAUAUAUAACUACCUGAAUAUAUAACUACUUUUUUACUUUCGUGUUUCACUGUUGUGGCCCGUAUAUACUGUUAUAACCAUUGCAAAUGAAUGCAUAUAUAGUUAAAGAAGUUAUGUUCUCAUUGUAAAUUUUACUUAAUAACUUUGUUAAGGUGAUUAAAGAUGACAUCAAUAAGAAUAUUAAUACUGUUCCUUUGCUUGACCAGUACACAAGGU